GCUUCCACCAAUGCCAUUGGCCAGACGUCAGUCACGUGGUCCCACUGAAGGCCCCCAUGCAGAAGGUGCACUUAGGCAGAGGGGCACACGCUGGGAGUGUGGCAGGCCAUGGGGCACUCGGAAGUGUUUUCUUUUUUCUUUUUUUUAUAUUAAAAGGACAAGCAAACACAAGGUAAUUUUGCUGGUUUAAAAUGGACGCAUGGGUGUCUUGGAAGCCGGAGGGAUGACCUCAGUUGGGUGCGGGGUCUUGCUUUUGUCCAAGCCGUCUGCUCUCAGAACAAAGUCCAGAAGACAAAGCUUGGUGGCCUUUGGUAAUAAGCAAAAGCAGAAGCUCCUUGGCCGACCUCCACUCCACUAGCUGGAACAGCGUGUCCCACUUUUCUAUUAAACUAGCCGAGGGUCGGGCACCUGUGCUGUGGAUGCUGUCAGGUACAGCAGGUCAGGUACAGGUACGAAUGCUCCUCCGGGGAGCUUGUGAACUUACCAAGCAUUAGUUGGAUUUGUUCCUAAGCCUUUUUAGGGCAGCUAUGGGUGCAACAUCAAUUACUUAAACUUUUCAAUUUAAUUGAUGUCACAUAAACUGUUGAGUAAAAUGGAAAUAUGAGUGAAAAAAAAUUUUUAAUUAUUUUUAAAAUUCCAGUAUAGUUAACACACAGUGGUAUGUUAGUUUCAGGUGUGCAAUAUAGUGAUUUAAAAUUCCGUAUAUUACUCAGUGCUCAUCACCCUAAGUAUACUCUUAAUCCUUGAAAAUACAUUUUUUUAAAUAAAAAUUAAUUUAACUACUUUGGAAAACCUGAAUUGAGUGAAAAAUGAUUGUCAAAUACGGUGUUUGUGAGACAACUUUGGGGAAAAGGGGUGGAGGAUUAUAAAAAUACAGAGGCCUCUGAACUCUGUUUCAGGGUCUUUCAGCUCUAACUGUGCUUCGAAGAAACCCAAACUGUGAUGCAUUACAUAUGUGGCUUUUGUAGAAAGGACCACCGAGACUCAGGAAGAGGUCUUGGUCCGAAUUCAAAAGAUUAACAAAUAAAUGUACUCUUUUUGUAUUUUAAGUUAAAACGGUUAUGUUUAUAUAUUUCUAAUGGAUUCCCCACUUUAAUUGGCUUUUUUGGUCAACCACCCCCUAGUGGUUGUAUCAGAUAAGAUACAUACAUGCGUAUUGUUUUGGGAACACAGCUCCAUAGGGAGUACACUGACACUGUAGAAGGAUGAUUAAUUUAGCCCUCUGAUUUUCAGGAAGCCUCUCCUGGCUAAACAACAUGUGCCUAUAGUUUUUAGUUCCUCGGAGUGAGACCACAACUACUCCCGGACUAACUCACCCUGUGUUUGUUGCCACCUCUACUCAGCAAAGGCACCUUACUGUCUAUGGGGUCUGAGGGCAGGGGUGUGGGGGCUCCCCUCUGACUCCCACUUCCUCCCACACAGCACAGCGUAGGUGUGGGGAUCAGGACAAGUCAGGGAAGGAGAUAAAUCAGUGCGGACCUUUUGCCUACUGCUUGCGGAUGGAAAGGGAAAACUCCCUGAGUAACAGACGUUUUAUUGGGAUGGGUAUGGGUAGAAAUGGAUAUCUCUUCUGUGUUGUCUUAGAAAACAGAGAUCAAUUCUCUUAUGGAAUGGAAAUGGUAAAAAGCAGCCUUCUUGCACACUUACAUAAUCAAGAAACUAGGAGAAGAAAUCUGAACCUGUCAACAGCUUGAAUGACAGAACAGCCUCCGGGCAAGAGGUGACAUUGCAGGAUGCCACUGCCUUGCCUGUUCCCCACCUGCCCCGUCUCUUCUAGAGCUGCCACUCCCGCAGCACUCCUGCAAGGGAGCCCCGACCUCUGUUCUCCAGGCUAAAAUGUAUGUCCUGCAGAUGCAAGGAAGAGCCAACUGUCUGAGCUCAAGGAUUUCCCGGUGACAUUAAAAAAUGCAUUGCUGAA
This is a long non-coding RNA of Mirounga angustirostris (Northern elephant seal), 1918 nucleotides long. RefSeq lists it as uncharacterized. The record is from RefSeq and is a predicted model, not a curated record. NCBI's taxonomy places the organism in Eukaryota, Metazoa, Chordata, Mammalia, Carnivora, Phocidae. The transcript has 2 exons.